AUCCUGGUGGCGAGUGGCGAACGGGUGAGUAAUAUAUCGGAACGUGCCCAGUCGUGGGGGAUAACGCAGCGAAAGCUGUGCUAAUACCGCAUACGAUCUCUGGAUGAAAGCGGGGGACUCGCAAGGGCCUCGCGCGAUUGGAGCGGCCGAUAUCAGAUUAGCUAGUUGGUGGGGUAAAAGCCCACCAAGGCGACGAUCUGUAGCUGGUCUGAGAGGACGACCAGCCACACUGGAACUGAGACACGGUCCAGACUCCUACGGGAGGCAGCAGUGGGGAAUUUUGGACAAUGGGCGCAAGCCUGAUCCAGCAAUGCCGCGUGCAGGAUGAAGGCCUUCGGGUUGUAAACUGCUUUUGUACGGAACGAAAAGGUCUGCCUUAAUACGGUGGGCUCAUGACGGUACCGUAAGAAUAAGCACCGGCUAACUACGUGCCAGCAGCCGCGGUAAUACGUAGGGUGCGAGCGUUAAUCGGAAUUACUGGGCGUAAAGCGUGCGCAGGCGGUUAUAUAAGACAGAUGUGAAAUCCCCGGGCUCAACCUGGGACCUGCAUUUGUGACUGUAUAGCUAGAGUACGGUAGAGGGGGAUGGAAUUCCGCGUGUAGCA
RNAcentral lists this ribosomal RNA (604 nucleotides) under uncultured bacterium. RNAcentral describes it as "bacterial SSU rRNA". It matches the Rfam family "Bacterial small subunit ribosomal RNA", at positions 82 to 680 of the family's 1533-position model. The record is from RNAcentral.